UCAGCCUAUAUGUGCGUUCUCUGUUGGCAACUUUACUCAGUCGCCACCAUCAGGGACAGAAGGGAGCAGUUGAAGCUUUUUCUGCGGGGUAUUUGUGGUCAAAUAUGUCAGCUGUUGUGCAAAGUAACCCAUUUGACUAGGCACUCAUCUGCUAUGCUUUUUGACGAAUUUCAAGGAUUAUCGAAAAUUUAUCAUCGUAGAAGAGUUCCUGUCAUAAUCUAAGAACCCCUUUGUUAUUGUUUCAAACUUCUAUAGUACUUACAGUUUCUGCAAAUGGAAAUCACAAACUGAAGAAAUAUGGACAGACUUGCAGACUCCCACCUUACAAUUUCUAACUGCAAAUCAAACCAGCCUAAUAGUUUGUCGCUGAAAGUUAUACCC
This 381-nucleotide unclassified non-coding RNA is filed under the name Hevea brasiliensis (rubber tree). Lineage: Eukaryota; Viridiplantae; Streptophyta; Magnoliopsida; Malpighiales; Euphorbiaceae. The record is from RNAcentral.